Molecule: long non-coding RNA, 101 nt
Organism: Hibiscus syriacus
Lineage: Eukaryota; Viridiplantae; Streptophyta; Magnoliopsida; Malvales; Malvaceae
Exons: 3
Source: RefSeq, a predicted model, not a curated record
UUUUGUUAUCUUAAACCUUCCAGAUUGUUUCCUUUUUCUUUGUUAUCCGUAUUCACUGAUGUGUUCUGUAUAUUUAUGAACCACAUCCCCACCGAGCAAAU